Long non-coding RNA from Mauremys mutica (yellowpond turtle), 3428 nucleotides. RefSeq lists it as uncharacterized. The record is from RefSeq and is a predicted model, not a curated record. The transcript has 5 exons. Lineage: Eukaryota; Metazoa; Chordata; Testudines; Geoemydidae.
ACUUGCUGAUAUUCUAAAGAAAAAGCUCCCAAUCAUAUUCAUAGCUGUUUCCAUCCUUUCACACUGAGUCAGAGAUCCUUGUUUUUUUCAGAGUGAUACACACACAAUGACAGUCCUGGAAGAUGUGUUCAUGGGUGCGGGUGGUGAAUGAGUGGCUAUGUUCAGUUGGAGAGGUGGCUUUGAAGAACUAUGGAGUUGGGCCAAGUAAUCCACCAGCUGUGCAGUCUUCCUCAUACAAUCAAUGAAAUUUGCAUGCAAAUUAGCUAUAAAGCUAGUGUGGUAACUGGACUCUUAGUAGGGCAUAGAUACAUGCCUUAAUGUAGCUGUGUACUGCAGGGAUGUAAGUUUUAAAAUCAAAAGGGGUGAAAAUUCAAAAAUUGAACAAUAGCCAACUAAGUGCCAGUGAUGAUUCAAGCUGGUGAUAUUCUAACCAAAAAGCCCUCAGCCAUGUUUGUAGCUGUUUUGAUUGCCUCACCCUGCCUCUACAGCCAUUCUAGGCUUCAGAGUGACUCUCAGGGAAUCUUAUUUCAUAGGGGCUUGUGCUGAAAGCUCCUGUUAGCAUACUGCAAUUAAAGAGUUGAAACUCAUAUGGCUUAGUACAGUUUUAUUUCACGAGGAAACCGACAGUUGCUGUCUGCAAUACAGAAGCAGCAGUGUAGUCUUACUGUUUUAUAACCUAGGAUAUUGAUUCACUUUGCUUGUUUAACUCACUCCAUCAGUAGUGGAGCCUUUUCCAUCCCAAAAUAGAAAAUAGCCAAACUAAGUUACAUUCAGCAGCUUUGUGGAAGUUGAAAGUGGGUGGGGCAGUUAGUCUGUCACAUGUUCAUGUGCUGUGCAAGCUUGACUGUGUCUUUAGUCUUAGUUGGGUAAGAUGCUGCAGCUUAGGCUGGGUGCCCUACCAUCAGGCAUGUCAGCAGCAGUGUAUGUAAUGGAAUUUAGAGUGACAGUUUACCUAGUAUUAAAUUCUUGAACUGGGUAAAAAAUACUUGCUCUUUAAUAACUGGUCUCCUAGAAGAGACAGUACAUGUUCUUCUGAACAACUAACAGCUCCUCUAACAAUGAAAAUAUGUCCUAUCUAAACUACAGCCCAUUACCUGUUUGAGCUUGAGUUCAGUUGUGAUUAAGAUAUGUUUGCUUAUUAAGUAUUCUACCAUGAUUUAAGUAUAAAACCAGGAAUUAGAUAUUACUAUACCUCAGUUAUACCAUAUCUCCAGUUUGUCAUCAGUAGGAUAGUGUCAAAUAGAUUUGACAUUUCAAAUUGCUAAGCAGUCUUGACUAUAAAAUAGUACUAGAGAUGUUGCUAUUAACUUUCACUACCUUCUGAUUUUGGCUGAUGUGGAAAGAACCCAUUACACUGCAUUCCACCUCAAAUGCAGCAUCUUUGCUAGGAGAGAGGCAAUCAUGUUGGCUCUAUCAGAUAUAUAUAAAAUAAACUGUGCCUCUUCCGUUAUCUGUAUGUCAGGUUAUCAAUAUGUCACCAUCAGAGGAAAACUUGGUGGUUGGAAAAGGAGCAGUCAAUAAGGGCCUGAGAUUAUAAACACAUUGAAAUCAAUGGAACCACUAAUUGAUUUCAAUGGGCAUUGGGUCAGGCCCUUAUUGACUGCUCAUUUUCAAACCACCAAGGCUAACUAUUAGAGCAGGUACUUCAUAGUUGAGUAGUAGAUUUGGGGGAUGGGAAGAAGGGAAAGAUGUUAUACAGGGAUCUCAUCACCACCAAAAGGACUAGCCUGCAAAACUAGAGUUCAUUCAAAAUGAAACACUAGCUUUUUGUUGUUGUAGAAAUAAGUGUGCAAUGAGAGCUUCAAGUUAUGACAGUGCAAGACUACCAUAAUCUGUAAAAAAGCUUUUAUCAGUGGUCACUGAUACCUAAGAGGAGAGAAGGAAUAUUUGCAAUGUUCCCCACCCCACAAGUAGUUAUAUCAUUCUCUGCUGUACAGUUAAGUGAGCAGAAUUCCCAUUACAAAACAACAAAAUAAAACCCAAAAAGUCGUUGUGGCAGGGAGGUUGGACUCUUUGGAACCAGUUCCUGCUGUUGAUGCUCUGAGACCUAAGGAGCCUUUCAGUGAAGUGUCACUUAAAGGGCAGCACCAGUAAGAGAUAACAGGCCACUUGAGUGGAGAUAGUGAUGCAGAUUUUUCUAAACUUUUUAAAAGAUGGUUCCCCCACUUCAUCGUAUGAUGAUGUGAGAGGAAAAGCCACUUGCAGUCUUUGGUAAUCAAGUCUUCCCUGCUCACAAAUGGAGACUACAGGAGGCAGUUUAUCCCCGAAGAGAUCUUUUCAGAUGGUACAAGCAAGCAGCAAGAAGGGCCUGGGAAAAGCAAUUCCCAACUCAGAGACCAGCAGGCAGCAUAUACUACAAACAUGCAAGGAAGCCAAAUUACAGCACCGUGGUGGCCACAUCUUUGCACGGCAUGCAAGUUUAAAAUAUCUGACAUCAUGGAAAGCCAACCUGAGGGCAUUUUUCCAAGAGGCAUACUCAACUGCAGAGAAUAUUUUCACUAGCAACAACAGUUCUUCAAAAACACUUGCAAAAGUGGAGGAAGAGAAUGAGCCAUAUACAGAUUGAUCACAUUUCCCGGAAUGAGGGGGAGGAACUGCUGUGUAAAUAACAACUGAGACUGUUGAAAAGGGGAGUAUUUCUUACAACAGAAAAAGGAGAUCCAGACAACAUACUUUUCAUGGAAGACACUGAAAAAAAGAGAUGCUAGAAAUUACAUACGCAUUGGACAGUGUCCAGGUUUCAGGGUCAAAGUUUCACUUACUUUAAGAAAGCUUUUUGCUCAAGGUUUCACUUUAGGUUCUUUCCAGGUUAAUUGAAGAUGCAAGAAGGACGUAGAGGUGCUUAGAAAAAAAUUAAAAAGACACCCAACAAGUCUGGUUCUAGCCCUAGAAUAAUCAAACCCGUUUAUAGCUUUUAUCUUUAUUGUGACAAGUCAGAUGAAAUUUGAGACAAUAUCACAAGGUCUCACAGACCACCAGAUGGGUUCAACCAGGUUUGUCCAGGCCGUAGGAAUUAUUUUACUUGUUCAUUUUAAUACCUUCCCACAGAAUUUAAACUGAGGAAAAAAAAUUCCUUUCAGCCUGGGUUCAGAGCCUUGUAAAAAGUAAACAAUCCUCCCCCCAGUCAAGGCUUCCUUGGAGCUCAAAAAGGCUCUCUGCAGCCAUGGUUUCAGUCUUGUUUUAAAACAACAAGAAAGGGCUUUUUAGAUAGCAUGUUCCUCUUCUCUUCGCCUCCACAGAAGGUUUUGCUCCUGGUGCGUGGCACUCAACAGCACCUGGGAGUACCUCCCUCUUAUUAGUAUCCUGGGAAAUUAAUACAUAGCAGCUGGCCCAGUCUGGUUACUCUGACAAUCACUAGGGUAACAGCAAGCUCCUGUAGUCUUGACUACAGACAGUGUUAACCCUCUUUCUGCCAGUCCCUGGAGAGG